UAAAUAAAUAAAAUCUACUGAUAAAAGCAUCCUAGUUAAAUUACUACAUGUAUAAUAUACUCAUAAUAAUAUAUAGUAAUAUUGAAUGAAAAUAUUAGGAUACUAUUAAUAAAUCUAUAUUUCCAAAGACCAUACAGUUGACAAGCGUCAAAGAAUGGUAGUUGGAGUUUUGUUUGCAUUCGGCGGGACCGUGAUUGGAGGAUUGAUGUUUUAUGUUUUACCCAAAAAGAAACCAACUCGUCCGAUAAUACUUCUUGGUGCCUUUUGUGGUUUCUGGUCUGGAGUGACUUCCUACUGGAUUAUCAGGAUGAGUGGACGUUUUCUCAGAAAUUCACUCGCAAUCACUCUAGGAGAUUAAAUAUCUUGUAUUUUGUAAAUGACAUAAAUGUAAAUAAAUUCUCAGAUAAUUU
Long non-coding RNA from Ruditapes philippinarum (Manila clam), 410 nucleotides. RefSeq lists it as uncharacterized. Lineage: Eukaryota; Metazoa; Mollusca; Bivalvia; Venerida; Veneridae. The transcript is spliced from 3 exons. The record is from RefSeq and is a predicted model, not a curated record.